UCUUUUAAUGUCACGCUGAAG
This is a non-coding RNA of Caenorhabditis elegans, 21 nucleotides long. The record is from Ensembl. Lineage: Eukaryota; Metazoa; Nematoda; Chromadorea; Rhabditida; Rhabditidae.